AUGAACGCUAGCUACAGGCUUAACACAUGCAAGUCGGAGGGGCAGCAUGCUGAUAGCUUGCUAUCAGUGAUGGCCGACCGGCGCGACGGGUGAGUAACGCGUAUCCAACCUGCCUGUCACUCAGGAAUAGCCCGGUGAAAACCGGAUUAAGUCCCUGAUGAUAUCAUUAGAGGGCAUCUGACGAUGAUUAAAGGUUACGGUGACAGAUGGGGAUGCGUCUGAUUAGCUUGUUGGCGGGGUAACGGCCCACCAAGGCAACGAUCAGUAGGGGUUCUGAGAGGAAGGUCCCCCACAUUGGAACUGAGACACGGUCCAAACUCCUACGGGAGGCAGCAGUGAGGAAUAUUGGUCAAUGGACGGAAGUCUGAACCAGCCAAGUAGCGUGCAGGAUGACGGCCCUAUGGGUUGUAAACUGUCUUUUAUGUGGGAAUAAAGUCAGGGACGUGUCCCUGUUUGCAUGUACCACAGGAAUAAGGACCGGCUAAUUCCGUG
RNAcentral lists this ribosomal RNA (492 nucleotides) under uncultured bacterium. Its description in RNAcentral is "bacterial SSU rRNA". It matches the Rfam family "Bacterial small subunit ribosomal RNA", at positions 29 to 507 of the family's 1533-position model. The record is from RNAcentral.